UCUGUAUAUUUUUCUGGAGUCAUGGUCCGACUGAUGCUUGUACUUGCUCCGGCAGCAUGUAUCAUGUCUGGAAUUGCCCUUUCUGAAGCUUUUCAUGUUUUCACAAGAUCAAUUAAAUUUCAGCUACCUGGAUUACUGGGGAGCUCCCAAGUUGAUUCAGGGGAUGCUAGUUCAAUUGAUCUUGUGAAAAAGCACAAAAUGGCGCAGGAAAGGUUGAGAAAACUGAAGAUACAGCAAAAGAAC
RNAcentral lists this unclassified non-coding RNA (243 nucleotides) under Hevea brasiliensis (rubber tree). The record is from RNAcentral. Lineage: Eukaryota; Viridiplantae; Streptophyta; Magnoliopsida; Malpighiales; Euphorbiaceae.